GAUGAACGCUAGCGGCAGGCCUAACACAUGCAAGUCGAACGGCAGCACGGGAGCAAUCCUGGUGGCGAGUGGCGAACGGGUGAGUAAUAUAUCGGAACGUGCCCAGUCGUGGGGAUAACGUAGCGAAAGCUACGCUAAUACCGCAUACGAUCUAUGGAUGAAAGCGGGGGAUCGCAAGACCUCGCGCGAUUGGAGCGGCCGAUAUCAGAUUAGGUAGUUGGUGAGGUAAGGCUCACCAAGCCGACGAUCUGUAGCUGGUCUGAGAGGACGACCAGCCACACUGGGACUGAGACACGGCCCAGACUCCUACGGAGGCAGCAGUGGGAAUUUUGGACAAUGGGCGCAAGCCUGAUCCAGCAAUGCCGCGUGCAGGAUGAAGGCCU
RNAcentral lists this ribosomal RNA (383 nucleotides) under uncultured bacterium. Its description in RNAcentral is "bacterial SSU rRNA". It matches the Rfam family "Bacterial small subunit ribosomal RNA", at positions 28 to 417 of the family's 1533-position model. The record is from RNAcentral.